This 815-nucleotide ribosomal RNA is filed under the name Streptomyces minoensis. Its description in RNAcentral is "bacterial SSU rRNA". It matches the Rfam family "Bacterial small subunit ribosomal RNA", at positions 74 to 903 of the family's 1533-position model. Lineage: Bacteria; Bacillati; Actinomycetota; Actinomycetes; Kitasatosporales; Streptomycetaceae. The record is from RNAcentral.
AGCCCUUCGGGGUGGAUUAGUGGCGAACGGGUGAGUAACACGUGGGCAAUCUGCCCUUCACUCUGGGACAAGCCCUGGAAACGGGGUCUAAUACCGGAUAACACUCCUGCCUGCAUGGGUGGGGGUUAAAAGCUCCGGCGGUGAAGGAUGAGCCCGCGGCCUAUCAGCUUGUUGGUGAGGUAGUGGCUCACCAAGGCGACGACGGGUAGCCGGCCUGAGAGGGCGACCGGCCACACUGGGACUGAGACACGGCCCAGACUCCUACGGGAGGCAGCAGUGGGGAAUAUUGCACAAUGGGCGAAAGCCUGAUGCAGCGACGCCGCGUGAGGGAUGACGGCCUUCGGGUUGUAAACCUCUUUCAGCAGGGAAGAAGCGAAAGUGACGGUACCUGCAGAAGAAGCGCCGGCUAACUACGUGCCAGCAGCCGCGGUAAUACGUAGGGCGCAAGCGUUGUCCGGAAUUAUUGGGCGUAAAGAGCUCGUAGGCGGCUUGUCACGUCGGUUGUGAAAGCCCGGGGCUUAACCCCGGGUCUGCAGUCGAUACGGGCAGGCUAGAGUGUGGUAGGGGAGAUCGGAAUUCCUGGUGUAGCGGUGAAAUGCGCAGAUAUCAGGAGGAACACCGGUGGCGAAGGCGGAUCUCUGGGCCAUUACUGACGCUGAGGAGCGAAAGCGUGGGGAGCGAACAGGAUUAGAUACCCUGGUAGUCCACGCCGUAAACGGUGGGAACUAGGUGUUGGCGACAUUCCACGUCGUCGGUGCCGCAGCUAACGCAUUAAGUUCCCCGCCUGGGGAGUACGGCCGCAAGGCUAAAACUCA